Unclassified non-coding RNA from Microcebus murinus (gray mouse lemur), 102 nucleotides. It matches the Rfam family "Y RNA". From Rfam's summary of the family: Y RNAs are components of the Ro ribonucleoprotein particle (Ro RNP), in association with Ro60 and La proteins. The Y RNAs and Ro60 and La proteins are well conserved, but the function of the Ro RNP is not known. The record is from Ensembl. NCBI's taxonomy places the organism in Eukaryota, Metazoa, Chordata, Mammalia, Primates, Cheirogaleidae.
GGCUCGUCCGAGUUCAAUAAUCUUUACAACUAAUGGAUCACAACUAGUUAUAGAUUUCAUUCUUCCUUCUCUACUCACACUGCUUCACUUGACUAGCCUUUA